Molecule: long non-coding RNA, 5088 nt
Filed under: Octopus sinensis (East Asian common octopus)
Lineage: Eukaryota; Metazoa; Mollusca; Cephalopoda; Octopoda; Octopodidae
Description: uncharacterized LOC118763880
Source: RNAcentral
UAUUUUUGUGAAUGAACACUGUUUAUUUUCAUUGUUCUGUUGAAACAUAACUGGCCAUGAGGAAAUAUUACCUUAUUUGAAAACAAGUAAGGGUUUGCAGCAGGAAGGGCAUCCAACUGUAGAAAACCUACCUCAAUAAGCUCCUUCCAAUCCCUGCAGGCAGAAAAAAAUAGUAAUAUCACUCAGAGUUGAUAGAGAACUCUAUAACUAGAAAGCAAGAUGAUUAUAUUGAUAAAGUAAAUGUCAUUGCAGCCGUUAGACUUCAGUUUAACUCCUAAUGAACUCAUCAUGGCAAAUUGAAGUGCAACAAGUAAUUAAAUAUUUGACUGUAGAGUUUAUUUAUUCAUUCAGUACAUGUAUUGUGCAGGCAUGAUUGUGUAAUUAAGAAGUUUUGCUUCUCAUUGGCACAAUUAUGGGCUCACUGCCAUUGCACACAGCACUUUAGACAGGUAUCUUUCAGCCUAGUUCCAGGUUGAUCAAGCCUCAUGGCUUUCAUAGAUGGAAACUGAAGAAAACCCAUUCUUUAUAUGUGUGUGUAUGUAUGUAUAUGGAGUUGUGUGUUUAUGCCCCACCCCACUAGUCUUGGCAUUGCAUCAUAUUUGUAAGCAAGUGUCGCUGUCAUGCAAGUGGUAAAAUUCAUUUCCAAUCUUCCAUGAAAGCAUGCCCAGAAAUGGGAAAAUAUUACUUUGCUUGGAAAAGUAGAGAUUAAAACAAUGAAACAUUGAUGAUUAUGUGUUUAUGUGUGAAUGCAUGUAGAAAUAGGGGAAAUGAAUAAAAGAAUAUAUAAUAGAUAUUCUUCAUUCAAAGCUGAUGAGUGACUGUAUUGCUACUCCAAAUUUCUUAGUUUGUGUAAAACACACACACACACACACACACUCACACACACAUGCAUAUGCAUACAUACAUGCACACACAGAGAGAUAAAUUGAGAGAUAGAUGGAUAGACUUUGUUGUACAAACUUCAGAAAAAGAACUCAACACAUGUAGUACUGCUUGUUUAUUCAUUGUGUAUGUGUGUGUAUACAUAUAUAUGUAUGUAUGUAUAUAUGUGUACAUAUAUAUACCCUAGACACACGCACUCAUGCCCACACAUACACAUGUCCUGUAGCUUUGAGGUUUAGUCAAUGUGCUCUGCAGUAUUUUAUGGUUAGAUACCCUACCUAAAGUUUUAACAUAGUUGUAACGACUUGCUUGGCUGUGUUAAUAUCAACAGUUAUAACAGUAGCAAUCUGUAGCACAUCUAUCUGUUCACUAGUGCCAGCUCUAUGGCCUGUAUGUUUGUUAUUACUUGGCAACCAAUACAUCUUAUCUACAUGGGAACUAUAAGCUGGUUUGUAUUUCUACCUUACCUACACUUGGCUUGUUACAAUGGGCUCUUUUAAGAACAACAUCAGAUAUUAUCUAUUUAAAUAUUGAACUUGACUCUUCAUAUCAAUGCUGGGUGACACAUGGAUGGUGCAGUUAGUCAAUUGAAAUAUUUUUUAGCAGAGAAAACCAUACUUGAGUUUGGAAGAUCUUAAACUUGUCUAUGGAGUUUAAUUCCUUAAUUCAACUAUAUCUCUCAGUCAUCCAAAUCUGAACUCAUCAGUCAUUAAUCUUUACUUAACAAAAACUUGAAUUUGUAGCAGUACAAUGAUAAACUACAAGAUUAUAUCUCUUGUGAUAAAACUAUUUUGUUAAACUGAAUAAUCUAUUUAUAUAGUGAUUUAAUAUGAAAAGCCUUGAUUAAAAAAAAUAUUUGACAAUUAUAUUUUAUUGUUAAGACUAUUUUUUUCUGAAGUUCAUCACACUUCUGCUGGUUGUUUUGAAUUUCUACUUCAGAAACAGAAAAUCAAACAGGGACAUUACCCUUACAUCAAUUAUUUGAUUUCAUUCAAAUGUAGCCCUCUGAAAGUAAUAUAACUAAUUCAAUGCACUAGUAUUCUCUUGUCAUGAGAAACUCUUCUUCCUUUUUGCAACCAUGUUGCUGUUGUUCUGAUUUCCCUGAUUCAAGGAUUCAUGCUUGCUGCAUGCAAAAUAUACAAUUUAUCAAUGAGUUAUUUUGCCAUCCUUCAUAAAGAUGUAAGCUGUGGUUUUAACAGGCAAUGAUAUAAAUUUUAACAACUUUUGUGAAUAGCCCAGAUAAUAAAAUUAAGAUUUCAAGCGUUGUAAUGAAUAGUUGACAUCAUUUGAGAAUUCAUCUGAGAAGAUAAUGAUUUUAAAGGUCUUUACCAGCAUAAGACCUUUCUUCCUCUAUUUACGUUGUUUGUUAUCAAUUAAUUCCAUGUUGUAUCUAUUAAGGAAUAAAAGAAUGUUUACACAAUCUUUCUUUGGAAACUUUUUAAUAAUAACCUUCUGUGUAUCCAAUCCACAGCAGUUAGAUAGACUCUAAUGGAAUUACCAAGAAACAAGAAAAAGAUGACAAAAUACCAAACAGUGAUAAAACUAAUUUUUAAAAAAUAUCUUAUUAAUAUUUUCACCACUAUCAUCAUUAUUAUUGUUGUUGUUAUUAUAUUAUUCAAAAUAUUUGCAUACAUACAUAUUUAUUUAUGUAUAUAUAUAAUUGGUCAGUUGUUCAUAAGUUCGUGAAAAGGUACACUCAAAAAAGUAUUUUUGAGCAGUAAUAUUUAAUGUAGUAAUUGGUUAUAGCCGGUCAGAAAGUUACCGUUGGUUUCAUGUCUAUUUUUGCUCUUAGCAAUAUAGGCGACUUAUCAGACCUGCUGGCCAGAGACCAGACCAGCUACAACCAAAGACUACAUAAAAUAUAAUAUGAUACAAUAUAUUUUAAUAUAUAUAUAUUUGUAAUGUUCUAUAACCAUGUUAGAUUUGAUGGUUUCUAAGAAUUUUCAAGUAAGCACAGUCAAAAGUUAAGUUAAUUUUUAUGGUUAGUACUGAGUGGUGAAAUCAUCAAGUUUGAUUUCCAUACAAAAAUAUUUCAAAAAGACAAGCUUUUCUUGGUGCAUACACACCAUAUAUACAUUUGCAGUUGUGUUUCUAGACUGUAUCAUGUUUCAUAUGAGCCAGAUCUUUCAGUACAAUUAUAAGGAGCUGUUAUGAAUGUAUACAUAUAUAUAUGCACUCCAUGCAUACAUUUGCACUGAGUAGAGCAAACAGUGCCUUUUUGUUGCUUUCUUUUAUGCUUAUCAGUUAUUAAUCUUCCAACAGUAAACAGCUUUUAUGUCUUUGAUUCCAACAUCAAUGUAAUUAUAUAAUUCCGGUAGUUAUUUUAAUUAAAUUAUUCUCACACCAGGCUUGAAGAAGACCUCACAAAUGCUUGGAAAAUCAAUGCUUAUUGAAUUUGAAUUAUCUAAUUAUUAAAAAGGAAAUUCAUAUAAGUGAUAAUUAUUGGUGACAAUUUUGCAUUACUCACAAGCAUACCACAUGCAACUUAUAUUAUUGAUAAUAUGAUCUAGAGCCACAAAUUCUUCAUUUAGGAAAUAUUACCAACUUCAAAGAAUUUUUCUGUUCUAUAUAUGUCUUUUUUUACUUAUCUUUUAUUUAUAUACUUUUCAAAAAAUUUAUUUGUUUAUGAGUUGGGAUAUAUAUAUAUAUAUAUACAUACACGCACACAUACAUAUGCACACACUGAGGUUUACACUGCAGAACAUUCUUUUCAUUAGCUGUCAGAUGGAGAUGACACUAUCUUUCUUGCCAGUUGUGCUGAGCAGCAUUGAUGCUACCAGGGAAUGUCAGAUUCUUUUCCCCCAAUAUAAUAUAUAUAUAUUGAAAUAUAUAAUAAAUAUGUAUGUAAGCAAACAGUAGUACUGAAGAAUAAAAUAAAUGGAGUCAAGCAGAAAUUGGUUAAAACCAAAGCACUGUAUGAUCAGGCUAUGUAAUUAUUUUGUGAAGUUUCAGUAUGCUUUAGAAACUUUAUAUAUUAAUGUAUUGAAAAGACAGGCAAGAGGCUACAGUAUUAGACUAUUUGCUCCUGGUACAUGAGUUUGAGUCACUGCUGAUGUGCUACUGAGCAGAAUCCUUUAUUUUUCCAUUAUAUUAGUUCACUUAUCUCCCAACAAUGAGUACCAGAUUGCAGUCAGAAACACUUUAUACUUAUCCUGUUCUAGCCUUGGGCUAGCAAUGUGUGGAUGCCACCUAGCUAACCAGGCUUUAUGAUUGUUCCCUAUAUAACUGCAUCAGAGUGAAGAUGCAUCCUCUUCCAUGUUGUUCAGUUAAUUAACUGUAGAACUAAUGUUUUUAUUGUAUGCCGACUAAUUAAUUUGUUAACAAGUUAAGAUUUUGUUUUCUAAGAAGGAAACAUUUACAUAAUAAAUAAUAAAUAAGCAUGUGUAAACUAAAAUGGGACAGAAUACAGAAGAAAAAAACAGAAAGAGUGCAGAGAGCCAUCUAUUCAUGUACAUGCUUAUAUCAAUGCAUGCACACACACUGAUUUAUAAUUUAGAAAAAUAUUUAACUCUAUUGAAGAAUUAUUAUUUCUCUUGUAAUUAAAGAUUAUUAAUAAAAGAAAAGACUAUUAUUUUUAUUUUUUAUUAAUCUCUAUUUUAUAUUCUUGUUAAUGUUUUUUUUUACCUCUAUUCUCUGUAUUACCCUGAAAAUCUUACUAACUUUAUCAUCAUUUACAGCUUAAUAUUUGAUUACAGGAGGAGAGAGAGAGAGAGAGACAUUCUAUGGGAAUAUGGCAUUGUCUUAGGAAUAUAUUCAUUGAAUUGUUAAAUCAAGAUUAAUAAUAAUAAUGAUUUCUUACCAAGGCACAAAGCUAGAAAUUUUGGGAUGAAGGAACAGUCAAUUUUAUUCUACCUCAGUACUUGACUGGUACUUAUUUUAGUGAGUGAUGAAAGGCACAGUCAACCUCAAAGAGAUUUGAACUCAGACCAUAAAGAGCUGUAACUAAAUACUGAAAGGCAUUUUCUGCCAACCCACCAACCAAUGAUAAAUUUAUAAAUAUAUAUAUUGUUGAUGUUCAUACUUUAUCCUGUGAACUUGUCUUGAGGUAGUAGUAGUUGUUGUGGUGGUAGUGGGGGCAGGGUGGUGAUGGUGGUAGUAGUAAUGGUUUCAAAUUGUUGCACAAGGCCAGCAAUUUGGGAGUAGGUAGUUAAUUCCAUCACCCCUUGUACUUGACUAGUACUUAAUUUUAUUGACCCUGAAAGGAUG